UGAGGAAUAUUGCGCAAUGGGCGAAAGCCUGACGCAGCGACGCCGCGUGGAGGAUGAAGGUUUUCGGAUUGUAAACUCCUGUUAAGUGGGAAGAAACGACAAAAUAUAAUACAUUUUGUAACUGACGGUACCAUUAAAGAAAGCACCGGCUAACUUCGUGCCAGCAGCCGCGGUAAUACGAGGGGUGCAAGCGUUAUUCGGAAUUAUUGGGCGUAAAGGGUGCGUAGGCGGCGUAUUAAGUCAACUGUUAAAACCUCCAGCCUAACUGGAGAUCAGCAGUAGAUACUGGUAUGCUAGAGGAUGGAAGAGAGAAGUGGAAUUCUUGGAGUAGCGGUGGAAUGCGUAGAUCUCAAGAGGAACACCAAUGGCGAAGGCAGCUUCUUGGUCCAUAUCUGACGCUGAUGCACGAAAGCGUGGGGAGCAAAACAGGAUUAGAUACCCUGGUAGUCCACGCCGUAAACGAUGAUCACUAGAUGUUAAUUCUGCUUGCAGAAUUAGUGUCGUAGCUAACGCGAUAAGUGAUCCGCCUGGGGGACUACGGUCGCAAGAUUAAAACUCAAAUGAAUUGACGGGGGUCAUAGCUGUUUU
Molecule: ribosomal RNA, 588 nt
Filed under: uncultured bacterium
Lineage: Bacteria
Description: partial 16S ribosomal RNA
Rfam family: Bacterial small subunit ribosomal RNA
Source: RNAcentral